Molecule: ribosomal RNA, 429 nt
Filed under: Bacteroidota bacterium
Lineage: Bacteria; Pseudomonadati; Bacteroidota
Description: Bacteroidetes bacterium partial 16S ribosomal RNA
Rfam family: Bacterial small subunit ribosomal RNA
Source: RNAcentral
UAGGGAAUCUUCCGCAAUGGACGCAAGUCUGACGGAGCAACGCCGCGCGAGUGAAGAAGGAUUUCGGUUCGUAAAACUCUGUUGUUAGAGAAGAACAGCGCAUAGAGUAACUGUUAUGCGUGUGACGGUAUCUAACCAGAAAGCCACGGCUAACUACGUGCCAGCAGCCGCGGUAAUACGUAGGUGGCAAGCGAUGUCCGGAUUUAUUGGGCGUAAAGCGAGCGCAGGCGGUCAAUUAAGUCUGAUGUGAAAGCCCCCGGCUCAACCGGGGAGGGUCAUUGGAAGCUGGGUGGCUUGAGUGCAGAAGAGGGGAGUAGAAGUCCGUGUGUAGCGGUGAAAUGCGUAGAUAUAUGGAGAAACACCGGUGGAGAAAGCGGCUCUCUGGUCUGUAACUGACGCUGAGGCUCGAAAGCGUGGGGAGCGAACAGG